CUUUCUCCGCAUCUGCCUGACGGUUCGCGUGGGCGCGCAGUCACAUGCCUCGGCGUAGUCGAGAACGCGCGGCGGUGCUCCAGUGAGGAUAUUUUUGGCACGCUGUCUGUGUAACCAAAGUCCAACAUUAAGUCAACGUCAAAAUUGACGUCAAAUACUGAGGUCAACUCGAUUUUCAUUCUCAAACAAAAUGCAACGUCUAUCCGACGUUGGGGUCCAACGUCAACCUGAAAUUAUAUUGACGUCCGGUGCCUGCUGACAUAGUACUUUAUUUUACUACUGAAAGGCAUGUCAACAAACAUUUUCCAGCCCAGAAGAAUGUUCCUUCACCCAAAUUCCAGCCCUGUGACCAAGAUGAGACGUGCACACCAGCAUAAACCCUGUCUCAUCCUUUUCCACACAACCCAGUGGAAAAAACCUGAGAACAUUUCCCUGAAACCAGCCACAACACUUGCCUUCCUCUGUAAAAAAAAUAUCAUUAAAAGUAAACAUGACUGU
Long non-coding RNA from Labeo rohita (rohu), 498 nucleotides. RefSeq lists it as uncharacterized. The record is from RefSeq and is a predicted model, not a curated record. The transcript is spliced from 3 exons. Lineage: Eukaryota; Metazoa; Chordata; Actinopteri; Cypriniformes; Cyprinidae.